RNAcentral lists this ribosomal RNA (870 nucleotides) under uncultured bacterium. RNAcentral describes it as "bacterial SSU rRNA". It matches the Rfam family "Bacterial small subunit ribosomal RNA", at positions 28 to 896 of the family's 1533-position model. The record is from RNAcentral.
GAUUAACGCUAGCGGCAGGCCUAAUACAUGCAAGUCGAACGGCAGCGGGUGUAGCAAUACAUGCCGGCGAGUGGCGCACGGGUGCGUAACGCGUAUGCAAUCUACCUGUAACUGGGGAAUAGCCUUCCGAAAGGAAGAUUAAUACCGCAUAAUAUCAUGAAGUGGCAUCAUUUUAUGAUCAAAACUCCGGUGGUUACAGAUGAGCAUGCGUGACAUUAGCUAGUUGGUGAGGUAACGGCUCACCAAGGCUACGAUGUCUAGGGGGUCUGAGAGGAUGAUCCCCCACACUGGUACUGAGACACGGACCAGACUCCUACGGGAGGCAGCAGUAAGGAAUAUUGGACAAUGGCCGCAAGGCUGAUCCAGCCAUGCCGCGUGCAGGAUGACGGUGCUCUGCAUUGUAAACUGCUUUUGUUCGGGAAUAAACCCUUUCACGUGUGAGAGGUUGAAUGUACCGAAAGAAUAAGGGACGGCUAACUUCGUGCCAGCAGCCGCGGUAAUACGAAGGUCCCAAGCGUUAUCCGGAUUUAUUGGGUUUAAAGGGUGCGUAGGCGGGCUAUUAAGUCAGUGGUGAAAGCUCCCAGCUCAACUGGGAAACUGCCAUUGAUACUGAUAGUCUUGAGUAUGAUUGAAGUGGGCGGAAUGUGUCAUGUAGCGGUGAAAUGCUUAGAUAUGACACAGAACACCGAUUGCGAAGGCAGCUCACUAAGCCAUAACUGACGCUGAUGCACGAAAGCGUGGGGAGCAAACAGGAUUAGAUACCCUGGUAGUCCACGCCCUAAACGAUGAUCACUCGAUGUGUGCGAUAAACUGUACGCGUCCAAGCGAAAGCAUUAAGUGAUCCACCUGGGGAGUACGACCGCAAGGUUG